RNAcentral lists this ribosomal RNA (497 nucleotides) under uncultured bacterium. RNAcentral describes it as "partial 16S ribosomal RNA". It matches the Rfam family "Bacterial small subunit ribosomal RNA", at positions 28 to 507 of the family's 1533-position model. The record is from RNAcentral.
GAUGAACGCUGGCGGCGUGCCUAAUACAUGCAAGUCGAGCGAACGGACGAGAAGCUUGCUUCUCUGAUGUUAGCGGCGGACGGGUGAGUAACACGUGGAUAACCUACCUAUAAGACUGGGAUAACUUCGGGAAACCGUAGCUAAUACCGGAUAAUAUUUUGAACCGCAUGGUUCAAAAGUGAAAGACGGUCUUGCUGUCACUUAUAGAUGGAUCCGCGCUGCAUUAGCUAGUUGGUAAGGUAACGGCUUACCAAGGCAACGAUGCAUAGCCGACCUGAGAGGGUGAUCGGCCACACUGGAACUGAGACACGGUCCAGACUCCUACGGGAGGCAGCAGUAGGCAAUCUUCCGCAAUGGGCGAAAGCCUGACGGAGCAACGCCGCGUGAGUGAUGAAGGUCUUCGGAUCGUAAAACUCUGUUAUUAGGGAAGAACAUAUGUGUAAGUAACUGUGCACAUCUUGACGGUACCUAAUCAGAAAGCCACGGCUAACUACGUG